AUUGAACGCUGGCGGCAGGCUUAACACAUGCAAGUCGAGCGAGCGGCGGACGGGUGAGUAAUGUCUGGGAAACUGCCUGAUGGCGGGGGAUAACUACUGGACACGGUAGCUCAUACCGCAUACCAUCAGAUGUGCCCACAUUGGAUUAGCUAGUAGGUGGGGUAAUGGCUCACCUAGGCGACGAUCCCUAGCUGGUCUGAGAGGAUGACCAGCCACACUGGAACUGAGACACGGGCCAGACUCCUACGGGAGGCAGCAGUGGGGAAUAUUGCACAAUGGGCGCAAGCCUGAUGCAGCCAUGCCGCGUGUGUGAAGAAGGCCUUCGGGUUGUAAAGCACUUUCAGCGAGGAGGAGUUACUCGCAGAAGAAGCACCGGCUAACUCCGUGCCAGCAGCCGCGGUAAUUC
RNAcentral lists this ribosomal RNA (406 nucleotides) under uncultured bacterium. RNAcentral's name for it is "partial 16S ribosomal RNA". It matches the Rfam family "Bacterial small subunit ribosomal RNA", at positions 30 to 526 of the family's 1533-position model. The record is from RNAcentral.